Molecule: RNA transcript, 1866 nt
Organism: Brassica oleracea var. oleracea
Lineage: Eukaryota; Viridiplantae; Streptophyta; Magnoliopsida; Brassicales; Brassicaceae
Exons: 12
Source: RefSeq, a predicted model, not a curated record
UUAAUGAUUUUCUUAAUCUACGUGCACAAUUUUAAAACGAUUUAUAUUAAAAACGGAGAGAGUAUGUUGCUAUUCACUUUUGGAUCUUCAGAGGGUGUUUUAGGUAAACAUUACCCUAAUAAAUGGCUUUCUGAAGAUCUUUUGCCGCUAUGGAGGCCAACCAUGGAACGUUAUUAUAAAAGUGUUGUGGAUGUUGGCAAGAAAUUGCUUGGCCUAGUGGCUUUAGCGUUGGAUUUGGAAGAGAACUUCUUUGAAAGAUUGGGAGCCUUCAAUGAUCAAGCAGCAGUUGUUCGCCUCUUACGUUAUUCAGGAGAGUUGAAUUCAUCCAAAGAAGAAGAACCAUGUGGGGCCUCUGCUCAUUCAGAUUUUGGAAUGCUAACUCUUCUUGCAACAGAUGGAGUUCCAGGGCUUCAAGUUUGCAGGGAUAAAGAUAAAGAACCAAAUGUUUGGGAAGAUGUCCCUGGGAUUAAAGGUGUUUUGUUGUCAACAUCGGAGACCUUAUGGAGAGAUGGACUAAUGGGCUUUUCCGGUACCCACCAAAAGUUCAACCUUUUCAUUUCAGGGCAUUAUAUUGAUUUCAAAACCUCAGUCUUAUGUGCGUUUUAUAGAUCAACAAUGCAUAGAGUGUUGUCAGUGGGAGAAGAACGUUACUCGGUGGCUGUAUUUCUAGAUCCAGACCCAAACUGUGUUGUGGAGUGCUUGGAGAGUUGUUGUAGUCAAACAUACCCUCCUAGGGAUAGGAAAGGCUUCUUUAACCUCCCACAAGAGGAAAAGAUAGCAUACAAUCCUGCAAAGUGGAUAUUACUACAAACCAUGGAAUAUUACUACAAGAAUGUCCUGUCUGUGGGUAGGAAAUGCUCGGCUUGAUUGCCUUGGUAUUGGAUUUAGAUGAGGACUUCAACAAGUCGGGGACUUAAUGAUCCUACAGCAGUUGUUCGCCUUUUACGCUAUAUAUCUACGUACAUCAAUUUCUGAUGAAGUGGUUUGCGCACACAAAAAGGGGUGAAGUGGUUUAGUCGGAUGUAGAAACAUAUGGGGCCUCAGCUCACUCAGAUUUUGGAAUGGUCACUCUUCUUGACUAAUGGAGUUCCAGGACUUCAGGUAGUCUUUAAUCUGUCUCAUGUGGACAUUGGCGAUCAAACUUUUGAUUGGGACAAGUCAAAAUUGUAACGACCUGACCCGGUGUUUCCUUUCUAAAUCCGGUUUGUUUGGUUCAAUUAAUUAAUUUUAGAACCCAAGCCAAUUAUUUAAUCCUUCUCAAGCCGUGUAGGUAUUUAUAUUGACGUAAGUACCUCUUUCUCUAAAACCUGCGCCGCCUUUCCCAUCCCCUCUCCUUCUUCGGUCUCUCCAAUUGUAUACCUCUCUCUUAUUACUUCUCUUCUCAACUUCUUUUUACUUAUGUUCUUCUUUUAAUUUGAUGUUGUAACUGUACCGAUAUGGAGAGGAAUGUUGCGAUCAUCACCAUCUCUUGUCUCAAUCUUCAACCGCUCUUCUCACUACAAUCGCUCGACGUCAGAGUUAUCACAGUCCACCGGAAAGCUGCGCUGUCACUGCGGAGUCCAUGAUUCUAUCGCCACUCUUGUCGUCAUGUUGUUCAGUCGUGUGCCAAGAGGAAGGUGCUGUCCAAAGAGAUGCGAUCUGUCAUUGCUCUUCACCACUGUGAGUUAAGCACAACCGAAGCUCACAGCCAUGUCAUCAGCCACACCCUUUCCGACGGAGCCACCAUCAUCAACCGUGAGCCUUGCCGUGAGGAAGAAUCUACUUGGCUACGAUGGAGCUAUUGGUUAUGCCCCAAAUUGGUUUGAUAUUAACAAAGUCGCUUAUUAAACAAAUGUGUAUGCUUAUGUGCAUUUUACUAAAAAUGAU